This 68-nucleotide transfer RNA is filed under the name Kallima inachus (orange oakleaf). RNAcentral describes it as "tRNA-Phe". The record is from RNAcentral. Lineage: Eukaryota; Metazoa; Arthropoda; Insecta; Lepidoptera; Nymphalidae.
AUUUAAAUAGCUUAAUAAGAGAGCAUUAUAUUGAAGAUAUUAAGGUGAAUAAUUAAAAUCUUUGAAUA